CUCAGAUUCUAAAGGCAGCCCAAAUGGGUUUUCUGAUACAAAGGUAGAUGGUCAUCUCUGCUUCCAUCUUCGGAAACUGUGGUGAGCCUGGUGUUUCCUUCAGAUUUCACGGAGCUUCCAGAACUGCAGACGGCUAAGUUAAGCACUGUGUCCUGAGAAUUAGCUCACUGCUCUCUCUGCCUUUGGGCCAGAGCACCCACAAAAACGAGGAAUUUGCCGAAGUCUGUCAUAUAAAGCCAGAGGAAAUCAAAGAGCAGAGAAAGAUUUGGAACACUUGAGCAGAGGAUAAAAACUUCAUCCUACCCUCAGCCAGUCCCAGGCCUGGACUCCAAAGCUCACAGGAGCCUGCGUGUGGGUGCACAGAGCUCAUUGCCUUGGAUGGAACACAGCUGGAAGCACACCAGGGGAACACAGCGGCAGAUGAAAGGAGUUUCUUCAUCAGGACUCCCUUGUCACUUACAGUCCUGCUUCUCAGACUUUAAGGUUCAUGGACAGACCACACUGAGAAGUGAGGGCCUACCGAAAAGGGAGGAGCCUCUUCCAGCAGAAGCAGCUUUGCCUUCAGAAAUGCCAGCCCUGGGAUCCCUGGGUGGCGCAGCAGUUUGGCGCCUGCCUUUGGCCCAGGGCGCGAUCCUGGAGACCCGGGAUCGAAUCCCA
This is a long non-coding RNA of Canis lupus familiaris (dog), 657 nucleotides long. RefSeq lists it as uncharacterized. The transcript has 5 exons. Lineage: Eukaryota; Metazoa; Chordata; Mammalia; Carnivora; Canidae. The record is from RefSeq and is a predicted model, not a curated record.